This 78-nucleotide transfer RNA is filed under the name human gut metagenome. It matches the Rfam family "tRNA". From Rfam's summary of the family: Transfer RNA (tRNA) molecules are approximately 80 nucleotides in length. Their secondary structure includes four short double-helical elements and three loops (D, anti-codon, and T loops). The record is from RNAcentral.
UGUGUGGCGGAAUUGGUAGACGCGCUGGACUCAAAAUCCAGUGGUAGCAAUAUCGUGAGGGUUCGAGUCCCUCCACAG